GUUACCUGCUCCAUCCCUCAUCCAGUGCUGUCUCAGAUUCUCAAUUUCUUCUUCUAGCUCCCCCCUCUUCUGCAGUGCGUCCUGGAGUGCCCGACGAAGUCGCUGGCUCUCGGCCUCCGCCUCUCGACGCCUCUUCCUCAAGACCUCGGAUUCCGUCUCCGCAUCCGCGAUGGCCCGCUGCUCGUACGCCAGCUGGAUCUUCAGUUGUUGC
RNAcentral lists this long non-coding RNA (211 nucleotides) under Elaeis guineensis (African oil palm). Its description in RNAcentral is "long non-coding RNA (EGUI_LNC080341)". Lineage: Eukaryota; Viridiplantae; Streptophyta; Magnoliopsida; Arecales; Arecaceae. The record is from RNAcentral.